CUCAGGAUGAACGCUAGCGGCAGGCUUAACACAUGCAAGUCGAGGGGCAGCAUGAUGAAACUUCGGGUUUCAUUGAUGGCGACCGGCGCAAGGGUGCGUAACGCGUGAGCAACUUGCCCUUAUCAGGGGGAUAACCGGUGGAAACGCCGACUAAUACCCCAUAGCAUCACUUUAAGGCAUCUUUUAGUGAUUAAAGAAUUUCGGUAUGGGAUGGGGAUGCGUUCCAUUAGCUUGUUGGCGGGGUAACGGCCCACCAAGGCGACGAUGGAUAGGGGUUCUGAGAGGAAGGUCCCCCACACUGGAACUGAGACACGGUCCAGACUCCUACGGGAGGCAGCAGUGAGGAAUAUUGGUCAAUGGGCGAGAGCCUGAACCAGCCAAGUAGCGUGAAGGAAGACUGCCCUAUGGGUUGUAAACUUCUUUUAUUUGAGAGUAAAAGAUUCUACGUGUAGAAUUUUGCAAGUAUCAAAAGAAUAAGCAUCGGCUAAUUCCGUG
This 495-nucleotide ribosomal RNA is filed under the name uncultured bacterium. RNAcentral's name for it is "bacterial SSU rRNA". It matches the Rfam family "Bacterial small subunit ribosomal RNA", at positions 23 to 507 of the family's 1533-position model. The record is from RNAcentral.